RNAcentral lists this ribosomal RNA (622 nucleotides) under uncultured bacterium. RNAcentral's name for it is "bacterial SSU rRNA". It matches the Rfam family "Bacterial small subunit ribosomal RNA", at positions 395 to 1008 of the family's 1533-position model. The record is from RNAcentral.
UGCCGCGUGUGUGAAGAAGGCCUUCGGGUUGUAAAGCACUUUUGUACGGGAAGAAAUCGCAUGGGUUAAUACCUUGUGCGGAUGACGGUACCGUAAGAAUAAGCACCGGCUAACUUCGUGCCAGCAGCCGCGGUAAUACGAAGGGUGCAAGCGUUACUCGGAAUUACUGGGCGUAAAGCGUGCGUAGGCGGUUUGUUAAGUCAGAUGUGAAAGCCCCGGGCUCAACCUGGGAAUGGCAUUUGAUACUGGCGAACUAGAGUACGGUAGAGGGUGGUGGAAUUCCCGGUGUAGCGGUGAAAUGCGUAGAGAUCGGGAGGAACAUCUGUGGCGAAGGCGGCCACCUGGACCAGUACUGACGCUGAGGCACGAAAGCGUGGGGAGCAAACAGGAUUAGAUACCCUGGUAGUCCACGCCCUAAACGAUGCGAACUGGACGUUGGGCUCAAUUGAGAGUUCAGUGUCGAAGCUAACGCGUUAAGUUCGCCGCCUGGGGAGUACGGUCGCAAGACUGAAACUCAAAGGAAUUGACGGGGGCCCGCACAAGCGGUGGAGUAUGUGGUUUAAUUCGAUGCAACGCGCAGAACCUUACCUGGCCUUGACAUCCACGGAACUUACCAGAGAUG